Molecule: long non-coding RNA, 394 nt
Filed under: Malus domestica (apple)
Lineage: Eukaryota; Viridiplantae; Streptophyta; Magnoliopsida; Rosales; Rosaceae
Description: long non-coding RNA (MDOM_LNC018940)
Source: RNAcentral
CCGCCUUCUCUUUCUCCUCCCCUUGGUUGGUGAAUGCACUCAUAAUUGCCGGCACACACUGAAACAAACAACAACAAAUGGUCCGUUUGAAUGCUAAUUCACCCAGUUGGUGCUUGUGAAUAUUAUGAAUGAAAGAUUAUUACUUGUUGAUCAAGAUAGCUCAUUCAAUUACCUUUUCAUCGAUGAAUCUGGCCCAGAAGCGUGCCUGUGCCCUUUCGUAGGGAUCUUGCGGCAGGAUCGGAUUGUGCUUCCACGUCUCAUCGAUGUAUUCGAGUAUAAUGAGCGAUUCCGCGACCGGCUUGCCGUCGUGCACAAGAACGGGUACUUUUUUGUGGACGGGGUUGUAACGGAGGAGCAAGGGGCUCUUGUUUGGGAGGUCCUCUUCAACAUACUG